RNAcentral lists this transfer RNA (72 nucleotides) under Mycobacterium intracellulare. RNAcentral describes it as "tRNA-Val". It matches the Rfam family "tRNA". Rfam says of the family: Transfer RNA (tRNA) molecules are approximately 80 nucleotides in length. Lineage: Bacteria; Bacillati; Actinomycetota; Actinomycetes; Mycobacteriales; Mycobacteriaceae. The record is from RNAcentral.
ACCCUGUUAGUUCAGCGGAAGAACAGCUGGUUUACACCCAGUAUGUCGGAGGUUCGAAUCCUUCACGGGGUA